AAACAUGCCCAUAUCGGCCCGAUAUCGGCUAAAUGAUGGAAUAUCGGCAGAGGUUUGCCGAUGUUGGGCCGACAUCGGACCGACAUUUAUGUUAAACAAAAAAUAUUUUGUUAAGAGAUGAGAACUUUUUGCAAUUUUCCAUUUUAGUGAAUCCAUCUGGUUUAAUAACGUUUGAUUAGGUCGCAUAUUAUUCAAUUUAUAUUUAUAGGACAAUGUCGGCCCGAUAUCGGCCCGUUGUUAUAAAAAUACUUAUAACUCCACAGUUCAAAGUAUGAUAUCGGCCCAACAUAGGCCCGAUAUCAUAAUUAACACUCAAGAGAAAAGGUAACUUUGAUUAUUUUCUUUUUAUUUUCAUGUUGCGUUAAAUUUAAUUGUCUGUGUCUCUUUUAAAAACCGUGAAAGAUAGGUCGCAUAUUAUACAAUUUAUAUUUAUAGGACAAUGUCGGCCCGAUGUCGGCCCGUUGUUAUAAAAAUACUUAUAACUCAACAGUUCAAAGUAUGAUAUCGGCCCAACAUAGGCCCGAUAUCAUAAUUAGCACUCAAGAGCAAAGGUAACUUUGAUUAUUUUCUUUUUAAUUUCUUGUUAUUAAAUUUAAUUAUUAUGCCUCUUUUAAAAACCGUGUAAGAUACUUGAUAUAAAAUCAAUAUUAUCAUGUCCAGGAAGAGUAACCGUUGUUAAAAGGAAAUACACAGGUUGCUUCCCUUGGCUCUUGUGCAGUGAAUCUGCCCAGGCUUUGGAAGUAAACAAAAUAAAGUAUGUCAACUAAAUUUAUAUCAUAUAAUGUUAUAAAAUACCUUUCAUUUAAUAAAUGUAUUUGUCAUAUUACUUUUUAUGUAAAUAUGCGUUUGAAAUAUUUGACUUUAAAAUAUAUUCAGUCCUGUAUGAUCAUACAAAUAGGCGCGCGAUAAAGCUGCAUUGACUCAAUUUCGAAAUUAUCAAGGUAAGCCAUUUGUCUGUAUUGGGUGGCCGAAACCGCGCUGAUGUGUGCCGGCGCAUUCUAAAGCAUUGCAUGUCAAAUGAGGUGGCCAACCAGUACAGCUGGCAUGGGAGGAAGAAAAAGGCAGUAUUUGGAAAACUUCCAUUGGCUGAUGCUGUGCAGAAAGCUGUCAUGCGGUCCUAUAAAUGCACAGCUGCAGAAGUUGAACAUGAGUGCAGGGAAUGGUUUAGAACAGCCUCUGACCGUGACGGUGGAAGAAAAAAGAGGACAGCCAAAAAAAGUGAUGAACCGUCCCAAUGAAUUUUAACUCGUGUGUGUUUUAACUUUUAAUUUAGUCUCCUGCUGCAAUUUGUUAUGAUGUAAAGGUCUCUUUGAACUUUAAAUUAAUGAUUUUACACAACUUUUCUUUUAAUAUGCAUAAUGAUGGAAGCAGUGUGUAUUUUUUUUUGUUUUUUUUUUGCCUUUAUUACCAAAAUAGCUGUAACUCUGUGUGUUGCUUAGGUAAACGUAACUUUUCAAUAUAUUCUUGUUCUAAUUGUUUUCAUUUGUCAUUUUUGAAGAAAACAAGUUUCAUGUAGUUUGUAUUAAUAUUGAAGACAAUUUUCUCGUAAUAUUUUUUAUUCAAAACUUUCUAGAAAUGCCCAUAAUUUAUGUCAAAGUUCAGGGGACAUACAAGGUGUUUAUUUCUGAAAAUACUCAAUUAUAAAAACCAAUUCCCUCAAUUCAUUUUGAAUUUGAUAAGUGACAGAACUCAAUUAUUUUUAUUUUCAAGUGAUCAUUUCCUGGUGAAAACAACAAAUAAUUUUAAUAGAUGUUAGUUUAAGGUAUUUAUAACCAUAUGUAAAUAAGUCCCAGUAAACUACUCAAUUAUAUAUCAUUCAGCAAUCUAUUGCUCUGUCCUACUGCAAUGUAUUCAUAAACAAAUACUGGCUGCUUUAUACUGCAUAACAUUAUUAGUUCUCUUUAAAGGAAUGGUCUGACUUAAUGGCUUUUUUUUCAGUAUUUUGGGAAUGUGACCCCAUUCCAUGAAAUUGGGAAAUGUUGUGUCAAUAUAUAUAUUUACCUGCAGUUCAGAAAAAGUACAACUGAUUAACUACAAGUCUUAUUCCACAUUUCACAGCUAGUAUUUACCAUUUAAGACUAUUCAACAAUGAGGAAUUGCUUGACUUCAUUUAGGGGGAAAAAUGUGUUCUGCCAUUGAGAACAUGGCCCAUUACCUUAAAGUGAGAUUUCUAGUCACUUGUACAUUUACAUUUUGUGCCAUUACUAUGUUGUGUUUUUUUUGCUGGAUAGCAAUUUGCUGAAUUUACUUGUUACAAUUUUUUGUGUAUCGUAUGACUGCUUUGUUGUAUUUUGCUGACUAGUCUUGUUACUAUUUUUUGUGUAUCAUAUGAUUACAUUGUUGUAUUUGGCUGACUAGUCUUACUUGUUACUAUUUAUUGUGUAUCGUAUGACUACUAUGUUGUAUUUUGCUGACUAGUCUUAUUUGUUACUAUGUUUUGUGCAUCGUUUGACUACUAUGUUGUACUUUGCUGACUAGUCUUACUUGUUACUAUUUUUUGUGUAUGGUAUGACUACUUUGUUGUAUUUUGCUGACUAGUCUUAUUUGUUACUAUUUUGUGUGUAUCUUAUGACUGCUAUGUUGUAUUUUGCUGACUAGUCUUACUUGUUACUAAUUUUUGUGUAUCGUAUGACUACUAUGUUGUAUUUUGCUAACUAGUCUUAAUUGUUACUAUUUUAUGGGUAUCGUACGCUAUGCAGUUUAAAGAAAGGGUUAUUUUAUUAAUUGCCAGGGUAUAUAGACCAGUUUUGAUAAUAUGGGUGACAUGAACCAUUUAUACAUGCAUGUUUGGUAAUUUUCCAUGUAUACAGUAUGCGUGUUGGAUACGUUGGUUUUCUUCAUUAUUUUCUAUUUUAUUUUCCUUUGCUGAAUAUUCUAUUACCAAAAUACAAAACUCAAGUCAUUUGGUCAUUUAACAUUUUGUUUCAAUGUGUUACUUUUUCAGUUUCUGUACCUUUAGAAUUAUAGAGUCUGUUUAAAUAAUUUCUUUUACAUUUGUUGUUAGUCAAUGUAUAUAUUAAUUAAGUUUACACCAUUAGAAUAAAAAUGUUGGAAUUGUAAUAAAUCAGUUUAAUAUUUUCAGUUUCAAGACAGUAGUAUAAUUAGCAAAUACUGUGUUCC
Molecule: long non-coding RNA, 3120 nt
Organism: Dreissena polymorpha
Lineage: Eukaryota; Metazoa; Mollusca; Bivalvia; Myida; Dreissenidae
Exons: 3
Source: RefSeq, a predicted model, not a curated record